GAAAGGACAUGGUGGAGUCAGCGGCGAUAAGGACACCGGGGCAGACGGGGCAGUGUCCCCGAGACGACAAGGAAGCCGGACAACCUGGGAGGGGGGUUGUUGACCGGAAGAGAAAUUGGUCAAACUUGUGGAAGAUCACUCAAGCGAGGGUCGGGUUUGUCAUCAGGUCGUAUGGACGUACGACACGCUUCCUUGUCCCCGGAACCUCCAGCAGUGGUUUCGAAACAAGCCAGCCUGCCCUCGCUUUGACGCGGUCGGUCUGUGAGGUCACGCUUUCACAGAGACGCUAUGGAUGGCGCCAUGACCAGGUCCUGGCAAAGCUAGCCGAGGUGCUGGAAAGGCGCAGAUGGGAAAGCGGUGCACGUAUCCCUCCAAUGGAACACCACGUCAACUUUCUCAGGGAGGGCGGAGGAAGGAGAAGCACCAGAGCCCUUUUCCUCCGGAGUGGAGUGGAACCUGCGAGUAGAUCUUUGCAGGCAGCUCCGGUUCCCCAGCGAACUGCCGGAGGAGGCGGAGAAGAGCACAUUUUGGCAGUGGCUAAGAAGAGGCUAAGAUCAAGGGGGGAGAAGGAAGGGCUGUUGUAUGGCAGAUUUUUUUCCGCGCAUGCACCGAGUGGCGAGCCAGAGAGGAGGCUUUGAUCUUCUGCUGAUGCUGAGCGUACAUGUCCAGAGGGCUCCGGCCUGAAGGGAAUGUCUCCUGCAGUGAUUACGAGCAGACGUCCUGGUUGUUGGGUUUUGCCAGCAUGCUGGUAGAAGAGCCUUUCAUUGCCCGUAGGGAAUAAGUAUCUACUGGGAGGACUAUUCCAUUUACCAGCAUGGCCUCAUGACUGCAGCCAGUAUUCACAGUAUGAGGUUCUUAUGUUAUUUCUGUGCUUACAUGCAUGAAUGUCUAGCAGGAUGAAAUAAAGAGUCAGAUAUGAUUUGUAAUUUGUUUCAUAAAAGUGUGU
Long non-coding RNA from Gasterosteus aculeatus aculeatus (three-spined stickleback), 946 nucleotides. NCBI's taxonomy places the organism in Eukaryota, Metazoa, Chordata, Actinopteri, Perciformes, Gasterosteidae. The record is from Ensembl.